Molecule: ribosomal RNA, 429 nt
Filed under: Verrucomicrobiota bacterium
Lineage: Bacteria; Pseudomonadati; Verrucomicrobiota
Description: Verrucomicrobia bacterium partial 16S ribosomal RNA
Rfam family: Bacterial small subunit ribosomal RNA
Source: RNAcentral
UAGGGAAUCUUCCGCAAUGGACGAAAGUCUGACGGAGCAACGCCGCGUGAGUGAAGAAGGAUUUCGGUUCGUAAAACUCUGUUGUUAGGGAAGAAAAAAUGUAUAGUAACUAUAUACAAAAGAGACGGUACCUAACCAGAAAGCCACGGCUAACUACGUGCCAGCAGCCGCGGUAAUACGUAGGUGGCAAGCGUUGUCCGGAAUUAUUGGGCGUAAAGCGCGCGCAGGUGGUUUAGAAAGUCUGAUGUGAAAGCCCACGGCUCAACCGUGGAGGGUCAUUGGAAACUAAUAAACUUGAGUGCAGGAGAGAAAAGUGGAAUUCCUAGUGUAGCGAUGAAAUGCGUAGAGAUUAGGAGGAACACCGGUGGCGAAAGCGGCUUUUUGGCCUGCAACUGACACUGAGGCGCGAAAGCGUGGGGAGCGAACAGG